GCUUUCGUGGUCUAGUUUAUUGCAUCUGCCUUAAAAGCAGAAGGCCUUCGGUUCGAUUCCGAACGAAAACA
This is a non-coding RNA of Massospora cicadina, 71 nucleotides long. The record is from the annotation of a GenBank genome assembly. NCBI's taxonomy places the organism in Eukaryota, Fungi, Entomophthoromycota, Entomophthoromycetes, Entomophthorales, Entomophthoraceae.